Molecule: ribosomal RNA, 253 nt
Filed under: uncultured Sphingomonadales bacterium
Lineage: Bacteria; Pseudomonadati; Pseudomonadota; Alphaproteobacteria; Sphingomonadales
Description: partial 16S ribosomal RNA
Rfam family: Bacterial small subunit ribosomal RNA
Source: RNAcentral
UACGAGGGGAGCUAGCGUUAUUCGGAAUUACUGGGCGUAAAGCGCGCGUAGGCGGUUUUUUAAGUCAGAGGUGAAAGCCUGGAGCUCAACUCCAGAACUGCCUUUGAAACUGGAAAACUUGAAUCUUGGAGAGGUCAGUGGAAUUCCGAGUGUAGAGGUGAAAUUCGUAGAUAUUCGGAAGAACACCAGUGGCGAAGGCGGCUCACUGGCUCGAUACUGACGCUGAGGUGCGAAAGCGUGGGGAGCAAACAGG